UUUCGUGACAGGAGUGGCACAAAUGCAGAGUGAGUUACUCAUUUAUCUUUUCUUGCCAUGCAAGUUGAUCGGUCAACUGGUAUUUGUAUUUUGCUAUGUGGGAUUAGCUGUACUGUUUCUUCCAAGUUAUGCACUUGUUUCCUGUGCUACUAUUAUGUCGUUCCUGUACUGCCUUUUGCUUGUUAUAGUUUCAGAUCUUUAGGAUAUCUGUCUUGCGAUCUUUGAGAAUGUUCAGUGAUUGGUUUAUGUUCAUGAUUACUAUGCAUGGAACACUGGUAUGUUGCUGUCCUGGUGAGAAAUCUUAUAGUGGUGCUACUGAUUUUACCACCUUGCUUUGCGCUCAACAAAUGUAUAUAAUCUGUUGCUGUCGACUUUGAGCCAAGCCAAAGAAGAGAGGAAGGCUGAAGCAUGCAAGUGAUUUCCUAAAGUAUUGACGGACAACGUAGUUUUGUGUGAGCUGUGAUAGUUGAGUGUAGUAGAUUCAGGAAUCCGACAACACUUGUCUUGAAUUUUAUUUUACCGUACUUAUGUACCAUUUGAGUAUUAUGAAGUGACCUUUAUAUGAUGGUGAAGCUGAUUGAUGGCCACCAGUCAACUUAGUAUGGUGAUGUAGGAUUUAAUUAAUGUUGAUUUUGUAUGUUCAAUUUA
This is a long non-coding RNA of Panicum virgatum (switchgrass), 648 nucleotides long. RefSeq lists it as uncharacterized. NCBI's taxonomy places the organism in Eukaryota, Viridiplantae, Streptophyta, Magnoliopsida, Poales, Poaceae. The transcript has 2 exons. The record is from RefSeq and is a predicted model, not a curated record.